AGUUGACGUUGAUCUGGCUUUUUGGCAAGUUGUACACGAAAAAGCCUGUCAUCGUUGCUGAUCCUAAACUUUGUUUCGUUAUCCAUUAAAAAAUUCGUUCGUUAUGUGGGUGAUUUGUGCAUUUGCGGUUUUCGUUGCUUCCACCGGAGCGAUGUACGUUGGUACAAUGGAAGAUUCAGAUGCAUACGAGCCGUCAAUGUACUACAAGAUGUACGCUGCUCAUUAUGAGGUGACUACGUACGAGUACACCUACCCACGCGUUCACGCCAGCUCCAUAUCGCGCUCGUCGAAAGAGGAUUGGGAACCGGUUCAUCGUUUGUUGCGCCACCGACACAGCCGAGAUGUGUCCAUCGACACAACAGCUGAUGACGACGCUAAUACUCCCAGUUACUUCGCCGAGGCUCCCAAGGACUUUCUGGCGCCGAAUUAUUACGAAAAUGAGGCGCCUCUUUCUUCUACUUACUCCGCACCGACUUACUACACCGAAACGAAGAAAUACGAUGCCAAUAGUCCCGGUUUUCCCGACGGCGAGAUUCCUCUCUACUUCUCAACAACUGUUCCUUUUUAAAAUAUCUUAUUUUCGAAAUAGCCGACGGUGUUAUCUCAUCGUUAGUAUUUAUCCGCAAAUCGUUUCUCAUAUCAAUAUAUCAAUGGUUACUAAAUUUA
Molecule: long non-coding RNA, 666 nt
Organism: Daphnia pulicaria
Lineage: Eukaryota; Metazoa; Arthropoda; Branchiopoda; Diplostraca; Daphniidae
Exons: 2
Source: RefSeq, a predicted model, not a curated record